GAGUUAUCUGAACCUUCGGGGAACGAUAACGGCGUCGAGCGGCGGACGGGUGAGUAAUGCCUAGGAAAUUGCCCUGAUGUGGGGGAUAACCAUUGGAAACGAUGGCUAAUACCGCAUGAUGCCUACGGGCCAAAGAGGGGGACCUUCGGGCCUCUCGCGUCAGGAUAUGCCUAGGUGGGAUUAGCUAGUUGGUGAGGUAAGGGCUCACCAAGGCGACGAUCCCUAGCUGGUCUGAGAGGAUGAUCAGCCACACUGGAACUGAGACACGGUCCAGACUCCUACGGGAGGCAGCAGUGGGGAAUAUUGCACAAUGGGCGCAAGCCUGAUGCAGCCAUGCCGCGUGUGUGAAGAAGGCCUUCGGGUUGUAAAGCACUUUCAGUCGUGAGGAAGGUGGUAGUGUUAAUAGCACUAUCAUUUGACGUUAGCGACAGAAGAAGCACCGGCUAACUCCGUGCCAGCAGCCGCGGUAAUACGGAGGGUGCGAGCGUUAAUCGGAAUUACUGGGCGUAAAGCGCAUGCAGGUGGUUUGUUAAGUCAGAUGUGAAAGCCCGGGGCUCAACCUCGGAAUUGCAUUUGAAACUGGCAGACUAGAGUACUGUAGAGGGGGGUAGAAUUUCAGGUGUAGCGGUGAAAUGCGUAGAGAUCUGAAGGAAUACCGGUGGCGAAGGCGGCCCCCUGGACAGAUACUGACACUCAGAUGCGAAAGCGUGGGGAGCAAACAGGAUUAGAUACCCUGGUAGUCCACGCCGUAAACGAUGUCUACUUGGAGGUUGUGGCCUUGAGCCGUGGCUUUCGGAGCUAACGCGUUAAGUAGACCGCCUGGGGAGUACGGUCGCAAGAUUAAAACUCAAAUGAAUUGACGGGGGCCCGCACAAGCGGUGGAGCAUGUGGUUUAAUUCGAUGCAACGCGAAGAACCUUACCUACUCUUGACAUCCAGAGAACUUUCCAGAGAUGGAUUGGUGCCUUCGGGAACUCUGAGACAGGUGCUGCAUGGCUGUCGUCAGCUCGUGUUGUGAAAUGUUGGGUUAAGUCCCGCAACGAGCGCAACCCUUAUCCUUGUUUGCCAGCGAGUAAUGUCGGGAACUCCAGGGAGACUGCCGGUGAUAAACCGGAGGAAGGUGGGGACGACGUCAAGUCAUCAUGGCCCUUACGAGUAGGGCUACACACGUGCUACAAUGGCGCAUACAGAGGGCGGCCAACUUGCGAAAGUGAGCGAAUCCCAAAAAGUGCGUCGUAGUCCGGAUUGGAGUCUGCAACUCGACUCCAUGAAGUCGGAAUCGCUAGUAAUC
RNAcentral lists this ribosomal RNA (1290 nucleotides) under Vibrio parahaemolyticus. Its description in RNAcentral is "bacterial SSU rRNA". It matches the Rfam family "Bacterial small subunit ribosomal RNA", at positions 68 to 1343 of the family's 1533-position model. The record is from RNAcentral. Lineage: Bacteria; Pseudomonadati; Pseudomonadota; Gammaproteobacteria; Vibrionales; Vibrionaceae.